CACAGCGUGAGUUCAUAUCAGCUACAUCUUUGCCACAACUUGGUGUUGGCUGACUUUAGUUGUUGCCAGUCUGGUGAGCACAUCAUGGUGUCUUGUGCAGGGCUAGCUUUUCCCCCAUUUCUCCAUCAGAUAAGAAAGCAGAGAUUGACAUCCUGGCUGCAGAGUACAUCUCCACGGUGAAGACGCUGUCUCCAGACCAGCGCGUGGAGCGCCUGCAGAAGAUCCAGAACGCCUACAGCAAGUGCAAGGAAUACAGUGACGACAAAGUGCAGCUGGCCAUGCAGACCUACGAGAUGGUGGAUAAACACAUUCGAAGGCUUGAUGCAGACCUGGCGCGCUUUGAGGCAGAU
This 350-nucleotide small RNA is filed under the name Pan troglodytes (chimpanzee). RNAcentral describes it as "retained intron". Lineage: Eukaryota; Metazoa; Chordata; Mammalia; Primates; Hominidae. The record is from RNAcentral.